UACGUAGGGGGCAAGCGUUAUCCGGAUUUACUGGGUGUAAAGGGUGCGUAGGCGGUAGUACAAGUUAGAAGUGAAAUACCCAGGGCUUAACUCGGGUGCUGCUUCUAAAACUGUACGACUUGAGUGCAGGAGGGGCGAAUGGAAUUCCCAGUGUAGCGGUGGAAUGCGUAGAUAUUGGGAAGAACACCAGCGGCGAAGGCGAUUCACUGGACUGUAACUGACACUGAGGCACGAAAGCGUGGGGAGCAAACAGG
This 254-nucleotide ribosomal RNA is filed under the name uncultured Eubacteriales bacterium. Its description in RNAcentral is "uncultured Clostridiales bacterium partial 16S ribosomal RNA". It matches the Rfam family "Bacterial small subunit ribosomal RNA", at positions 524 to 776 of the family's 1533-position model. The record is from RNAcentral. Lineage: Bacteria; Bacillati; Bacillota; Clostridia; Eubacteriales.